Molecule: long non-coding RNA, 752 nt
Organism: Bactrocera dorsalis (oriental fruit fly)
Lineage: Eukaryota; Metazoa; Arthropoda; Insecta; Diptera; Tephritidae
Exons: 3
Source: RefSeq, a predicted model, not a curated record
UUUUGGCAAAGACUUUACGCUCUUUCCGCUCAGUGCAAAGUCUUUGCGCUUUAUUGGCAAAGUCUUUGCACUCUCUUGCAAAGUGAGUGUGCAAAGUGUUCCACAAAGCGUUUUAUCAACUUUGCAUUUCUGUCUCAUCACUUUUCACUUCGCAUUGCUUUAUAUGUGUUGUUAAAAUGAGCCGCAAAAUACAAAUUAAAAAAAAAACUUGCUGUUUUAAAUGUGAUAAAAGAAAAAAAAAAGCAUUUUAUUUGCUAGUUUUAAAAACAACAGAAUAAGUUAACAAAUUAGAUAAACAGGCAGCAUGGGAGGAUGUGUUAUAAAAAGUCCAAUCCCUACAACUGGCGUCAGCACAAAAAACAUGGACCUAUGCAAGGGACAGUUUGUUUGGGCUCUGGAAGAGCCGGACAAUGAGUAAAAGGGAUAACGCCCGAAAUACUGGAUCCGGAGGUGGGAAGGAGAAGGUAAUGGAUGAAGCUGACUUGGCCAUACUCGAUAUUCUGGAAUCAGACUCAGCUGUGGUAGAUGGUUUGAAUUUGCCAGAAAGUUAUGGCAACUCAGAAAAUCUACCGUCAGCUGAGAAUGAUUCCAGAAUAUCUAUUUCAGAAGAAACAAUUGCCAAUCCACCUCUAAACCCAAGAAAGAGGAAGCGCUCUACCAAGUUUCCAAGUGAAACUUUGGAUAGAGAGAAAAAAUGCCGGAUGGAGCUCCUUGAGGUUGAGGUUUACUACCGGAAACUUCAAUGCCUAAAA